Molecule: ribosomal RNA, 1296 nt
Filed under: marine metagenome
Description: bacterial LSU rRNA
Rfam family: Bacterial large subunit ribosomal RNA
Source: RNAcentral
GAGUGCGUAAUAGCUCACUGGUCAAGUGAUUCCGCGCCGACAAUGUAACGGGGCUCAAGCACGCCACCGAAGUUGUGGCAUUGACAUUAUUGGUAGGCCUUCGUGGUCCAGCCGUGUUGAUGGGUAGGAGAGCGUCGUGUGGGCAGUGAAGCGGCGGGGUGACCCAGCCGUGGAGGCCACACGAGUGAGAAUGCAGGCAUGAGUAGCGAAAGACGUGUGAGAAACACGUCCUCCGAAAGACCAAGGGUUCCAGGGUCAAGCUAAUCUUCCCUGGGUAAGUCGGGACCUAAGGCGAGGCCGACAGGCGUAGUCGAUGGACAACGGGUUGAUAUUCCCGUACCGGCGAAGAACCGCCCCAGCUAAUCCAGUGGUGCUAAGAGUCCUAACCAGGAAUGUGUGGAUCCCUUCGGGGUGAAGCCGUCCUGGCGAACGCUCGACCCCAUGCUGGUGCGGCUAGCGUAUUAACAGGUGUGACGCAGGAAGGUAGCCCAAGCCAGGCGAUGGUUGUCCUGGUGCAAGUGCGUAGGCCGAGUGGUAGGUAAAUCCGUCACUCAUUGAGGCUGAGACACGAUGCGGAUGAAAAGUGGGUGAUCCUAUGCUGCCGAGAAAAGCAUCGACGCGAGGUUCUAGCUGCCCGUACCCCAAACCGACUCAGGUGGUCAGGUAGAGAAUACUAAGGAGAUCGAGAGAAUCGUGGUUAAGGAACUCGGCAAAAUGCCCCCGUAACUUCGGGAGAAGGGGGGCCAUCCACUUAUUAGGAUUUACUCCGAAAGGGUGUGGUGGCCGCAGAGACCAGUGGGUAGCGACUGUUUACUAAAAACACAGGUCCGUGCCAAGUCGCAAGACGAUGUAUACGGACUGACGCCUGCCCGGUGCUGGAAGGUUAAGAGGACGGGUUAGCCGUAAGGCGAAGCUCAGAAUUUAAGCCCCAGUAAACGGCGGUGGUAACUAUAACCAUCCUAAGGUAGCGAAAUUCCUUGUCGGGUAAGUUCCGACCUGCACGAAUGGCGUAACGACUUCCCAACUGUCUCAACCACGAACUCGGCGAAAUUGCAUUACGAGUAAAGAUGCUCGUUACGCGCAGCAGGACGGAAAGACCCCGUGACCUUUACUACAGCUUGGUAUUGGUGUUCGGUGUGGCUUGUGUAGGAUAGGUGGGAGACUGUGAAGCAGACACGCCAGUGUUUGUGGAGUCGUUGUUGAAAUACCACUCUGGUCACUCUGGAUGUCUAACUUCGAACCGUAAUCCGGUUCAGGGACAGUGCCUGGUGGGUAGUUUAACUGGGGCGGUUGCCU